CACCUAACAGCUAGCCCCACUCUCAAAAAACAACCCUUAAUUAUAAAUAAACCCUAAAACAUAAUACGCAUUUAAAACAAAACAUUUUUCCCCCCUAGUAUGGG
RNAcentral lists this ribosomal RNA (104 nucleotides) under Parapercis aurantiaca. RNAcentral's name for it is "partial 16S rRNA". Lineage: Eukaryota; Metazoa; Chordata; Actinopteri; Uranoscopiformes; Pinguipedidae. The record is from RNAcentral.